RNAcentral lists this ribosomal RNA (916 nucleotides) under uncultured archaeon. RNAcentral describes it as "partial 16S ribosomal RNA". It matches the Rfam family "Archaeal small subunit ribosomal RNA", at positions 1 to 922 of the family's 1478-position model. The record is from RNAcentral.
UUCCGGUUGAUCCUGCCAGAGGCUACUGCUAUCGGGGUCCGACUAAGCCAUGCGAGUUGAGAGGGGUAAGCCCUCGGCAUAUUGCUCAGUAACACGCGGAUAACCUGCCCUUGGGUUUGGGAUAACCCCGGGAAACUGGGACUAAUACCGGAUAGAUCAAAGAAACUGGAAUGUUCUCUGAUCGAAAGCUCCGGCGCCCAAGGAUGGGUCUGCGGCCUAUCAGGUAGUAGUGGGUGUAACGUACCUACUAGCCUACGACGGGUAAGGGUUGUGAGAGCAAGAGCCCUGAGAUGGAUUCUGAGACAUGAAUCCAGGCCCUACGGGGCGCAGCAGGCGCGAAAACUUUACAAUGCGGGAAACCGUGAUAAGGGGACACCGAGUGCCAGCAUCAUAUGCUGGCUGUCCGGAUGUGUAAAAUACAUCCGUUAGCAAGGGCCGGGCAAGACCGGUGCCAGCCGCCGCGGUAACACCGGCGGCCCGAGUGGUGAUCGUGAUUAUUGGGUCUAAAGGGUCCGUAGCCGGUUUGGUCAGUCCUCCGGGAAAUCUGAUAGCUCAACUAUUAGGCUAUCGGGGGAUACUACCAGACUUGGAACCGGGAGAGGUAAGAGGUACUACAGGGGUAGGAGUGAAAUCUUGUAAUCCCUGUGGGACCACCUGUGGCGAAGGCGUCUUACCAGAACGGGUUCGACGGUGAGGGACGAAAGCUGGGGGCACGAACCGGAUUAGAUACCCGGGUAGUCCCAGCCGUAAACGAUGCUCGCUAGGUGUCAGGCAUGGCGCGACCGUGUCUGGUGCCGCAGGGAAGCCGUGAAGCGAGCCACCUGGGAAGUACGGCCGCAAGGCUGAAACUUAAAGGAAUUGGCGGGGGAGCACAACAACGGGUGGAGCCUGCGGUUUAAUUGGAUUCAACGCCGGG